This is a long non-coding RNA of Oreochromis aureus, 1222 nucleotides long. RefSeq lists it as uncharacterized. The transcript has 4 exons. Lineage: Eukaryota; Metazoa; Chordata; Actinopteri; Cichliformes; Cichlidae. The record is from RefSeq and is a predicted model, not a curated record.
AAGAAGAUGAAGAUACAAGCUGGUGAUGAUCCAGAGCAGCUGGUCUCAGGAAAUGAAAUAAAACCCUGAUCACCUUUUCCACAGAAACAAGUCUCAAUGGCUGAGAUGGAGGAGCAACACAGCGACACGUUAACCAGACUGCUGCAGUUCCUGUAUGAACUGAGCAACUCUAAAAAUCCAAGGAAAGAUAAGAUAAUUAUUUGCAUCCAGUGGUGAACCAAGUAACCAACCACAGUAGGAAGUAUAGAUUCCCCUAAUUGUGCUGCUGAUAUUCUCUAUAAACUCUCUAUCUAUAAACUAUUUACAUUAAUGUUUGUGCAUAAUGGCUACCUCUGUCUGAUGAAGACACUAGCAGAUAGUCAAUUUGCCAGCAGGUUUGUGUGCACUGGAAACAUUAAUUCAUGUAUCAUGUCUGUCACCAAAACAGAUCUCUGCAGAUCCUGAAGUCGAACUCCCAGUGACCCCAUGCAUCCUAAUCAGAGGUGACCAGCAAUUCAAGAUUGCUGUUGAUGGGUUACUUGUCAAUGACCACAUCACCUCUCCCAUUGUGGCCUUGAGCUACGUCUUCUCCAUGUUUUAUGUCUGCAACGUCCAAUACCCACCGGAGAUGGCUUUUACUCUCGAAUUCAUGCAAAGAGUUUUCUUUGGGGUCAAUCCUGAGCGAGGCUCCAAGGCAGAGAAGAAGGGGAAGAAACGGCACUUCAUUCCUCCACAGGUGUGCAAGCUGGUUUCUCAGCUGAAGGAAUUUGAAUGCAAGCAGAAGGAAUCUGAAUGGGCCAUUUGAGCUGUUCUCAGAGCUCAGAAAAUACCUUUUUGGACUGAAUGUACACACACACACACACACACACACACACACACACACACAAAGGCAAAUCCAAAAACAUGGGGCUUGGGAGUAGAAAUACAGAUUUUUACAGUAUUAGGUGAGUUCAGAUGUUUUAACUAGAUGCCCACAACACACAUGCUGCAGUUUCAAAUCCCCCAUGUUAAGGGGGAGGGAAGGUGGGCGAUAUUUGUCAUUCCGGUUAAGCUUUUCCUGUCAUUGUGGAGUUGGAGGUGUAAGUUUUAAUUUUUUUUAGUUUUAAGUUGUUUUAAGAGUUUUAAAAUCUCUUUAUGGCAUGUUGCACAGUCAUCCUUCUAAGGUCAUGGUUGUUAUUGCUGCACUGAUGUUUUAUAGAAAAGUUGUAUAAUGUAAUACUUCUAAUGUUCUAUUUGUUUUUGU